This 492-nucleotide ribosomal RNA is filed under the name uncultured bacterium. RNAcentral describes it as "partial 16S ribosomal RNA". It matches the Rfam family "Bacterial small subunit ribosomal RNA", at positions 29 to 507 of the family's 1533-position model. The record is from RNAcentral.
AGUGAACGCUGGCGGUAGGCCUAACACAUGCAAGUCGAACGGCAGCACAGUAAGAGCUUGCUCUUACGGGUGGCGAGUGGCGGACGGGUGAGGAAUACAUCGGAAUCUACUUUUUCGUGGGGGAUAACGUAGGGAAACUUACGCUAAUACCGCAUACGACCUACGGGUGAAAGCAGGGGAUCUUCGGACCUUGCGCGAUUGAAUGAGCCGAUGUCGGAUUAGCUAGUUGGCGGGGUAAAGGCCCACCAAGGCGACGAUCCGUAGCUGGUCUGAGAGGAUGAUCCGCCACACUGGGACUGAGAAACGGUCCAGACUCCUACGGGAGGCCGCAGCGGGGAAUAAUGGACAAUGGGCGGAAGCCUGAUCCAGCCAUACCGCGUGGGUGAAGAAGGCCUUCGGGUUGUAAAGCCCUUUUGUUGGGAAAGAAAAGCAGCAGGUUAAUACCCCGCUGUUCUGACGGUACCCAAAGAAUAAGCACCGGCUAACUUCGUG